This 229-nucleotide ribosomal RNA is filed under the name uncultured bacterium. RNAcentral's name for it is "partial 16S ribosomal RNA". It matches the Rfam family "Bacterial small subunit ribosomal RNA", at positions 568 to 796 of the family's 1533-position model. The record is from RNAcentral.
CGCGUAGGCGGUCGGGUAAGUUGGAUGUUGAAUCACCGGGCUCAACCCGGUAACGUCGUCCAAUACUGCCCGACUAGAGGUCGGUAGGGGAGAGUGGAACUCCUGGUGGAGUGGUGAAAUGCGUAGAUAUCAGGAGGAACGUCGGCGGCGAAGGCGACUCUCUGGGCCGAAACUGACGCUGAGGUGCGAAAGCUAGGGUAGCGAACAGGAUUAGAUACCCUGGUAGUCC